Molecule: transfer RNA, 74 nt
Filed under: Podarcis lilfordi (Lilford's wall lizard)
Lineage: Eukaryota; Metazoa; Chordata; Lepidosauria; Squamata; Lacertidae
Description: tRNA.Lys
Source: RNAcentral
CCUUGGGAUAACUCAGUCGGUAGAACAUGAGACUUUUAAUCUCAGGGUCAUGCGUUCGAGUCCUGAUCUGGGGC